Molecule: ribosomal RNA, 213 nt
Filed under: uncultured fungus
Lineage: Eukaryota; Fungi
Description: partial small subunit ribosomal RNA
Rfam family: Eukaryotic small subunit ribosomal RNA (bases 47-213)
Source: RNAcentral
AGCUCUGUGAACUGGUAGCCUAAUUGGCUUACUGGUCUCAUGGUGCUCUUAUUUCUGGGGAACCAAAGUGCUCUUUAUUGAGUGCCUUGGCAAUCCAGGACCUUUACCUUGAAAAAAUUAGAGUGUUUAAGGCAGGCGUUUGCUUGAAUAUAUUAGCAUGGAAUAAUAGAAUAGGACUGUGGUUCUAUUUUGUUGGUUUCUAGGACCAAAGUA